RNAcentral lists this ribosomal RNA (253 nucleotides) under uncultured bacterium. RNAcentral's name for it is "partial 16S ribosomal RNA". It matches the Rfam family "Bacterial small subunit ribosomal RNA", at positions 524 to 776 of the family's 1533-position model. The record is from RNAcentral.
UACGUAGGGGGCAAGCGUUGUCCGGAUUUACUGGGCGUAAAGCGCGCGUAGGCGGAGCUUUAAGCGUGGCCUGAAAGCCCCGGGCUCAACCUGGGAAUUGCAUUUGAGACUGCGUAGCUAGGGUGCGGAAGAGGGAAGCGGAAUUUCCGGUGUAGCGGUGAAAUGCGUAGAUACUGGGAGGAACACCGGUGGCGAAGGCGGCUACCUGGACCGGAACUGACGCUGAGGCGCGAAAGCGUGGGUAGCAAACAGG